CAGGUUUGCCUAAGGGUUGGGAGAUGGAUUCUGCCCCGGAAGGAGCCGUAUACUUCAUCAAUCCAAACAAUUAGAUCAGUCCCGCCCUCUGGAGCGGCUACCGUGAUAUCACAGAGUUGCCAUAACAACAGACUAUGAGGUCAACAUUAUGCCCGGGUGCUGCAAAACGAAGCACCUUGGUUAGCAAGGAACCUGUCUCUGAAGAGAAGCCUGUAGAAAGCCGAGGAGCUGAAACUUUGCAUCACAGCAUCUUGGCUGUUUAAGAUGACAUUGAGCCUGGGUCCUCCUCUGCUGGGAU
RNAcentral lists this long non-coding RNA (298 nucleotides) under Rattus norvegicus (Norway rat). Its description in RNAcentral is "long non-coding RNA NONRATT008208". Lineage: Eukaryota; Metazoa; Chordata; Mammalia; Rodentia; Muridae. The record is from RNAcentral.